Molecule: non-coding RNA, 45 nt
Filed under: unclassified sequences
Also listed under: 1 other name
Description: Acido-Lenti-1 RNA
Rfam family: Acido-Lenti-1 RNA
Source: RNAcentral
CCAGGGAUUUCAUCCCUGGCUAAUAUAUUUCGUGCUUUCAGCACU